RNAcentral lists this ribosomal RNA (468 nucleotides) under uncultured bacterium. Its description in RNAcentral is "partial 16S ribosomal RNA". It matches the Rfam family "Bacterial small subunit ribosomal RNA", at positions 28 to 507 of the family's 1533-position model. The record is from RNAcentral.
GACGAACGCUGGCGGCGUGCUUAACACAUGCAAGUCGAACGGAAAGGCCCUGCUCUUGUGGGUUGCUCGAGUGGCGAGCGGGUGAGUAACACGUGAGUAACAUGUACUUGUCUUUGGGAUAUCAUCAGGAAACUGGGGCUCAUACCGGAUAGGAUCUCCUGAUGCAUGGGGGGGGUUGGAGAGUUUCGGCGGUUGGAGAUGGUAUCGCGGCUUAUCAGCUUGUUGGUGGGGUAGUGGCGUACCAAGGCUGUGACGGGUAGCCGGCCUGAGAGGGUGACCGGGCACAAUGGGACUGAGAGACGGAGCAGAAUCCUACGGGAGGCAGCAGUGGAGAAUAUGGCACAAUGGGCGGAAGCCUGAUGCAGCAACGCCGCGUGCGGGAUGACGGCCUUCGGGGUGUAAACCGCUUUCGACUGUGACGAAGCGUGAGUGACGGUAAUGGGUAAAGAAGCACCGGCUAACUACGUG